GGAAAUGUUUUAAAGUACUUCUCUUUAAUCAUUUUUGUAUCCAGCUGCCUUUGAUUUGUGGAGCCUGUUAUUUUACAGAGUAUUUCAACAUUCCUUAUGGAUGGGAAACAAUGCCAAGAUGCUAUGCUCUUUUGGCAAGAUGCUUGGGCUGUGCGGUCAUUGAAGAUACCUGGCACUAUUUCUUGCAUAGACUCUUACACCACAAAAGAAUAUAUAAAUAUAUUCAUAAAAUUCAUCAUGAGUUUCAGGCUCCAUUUGGAAUAGAAGCUGAAUAUGCACAUCCUUUGGAAACUCCGAUCCUUGGGGCUGGAUUUUUCAUUGGAAUCCUGCUUUUGUGUGAUCACAUAGUUCUUCUUUGGGUUUAGGUGACCUUGCAUUUGAUAACAACUGUUGAUGUCCACAGUGGUUAUGCUAUUCCUAUCAACCCUUUAAAUUUCAUCCCUUUCUAUUCUGGUUCCCGGCAUCACGAUUUCCAUCACAUGAACUACAUUGGAAAUUAGGCUUCGACAUUUACAUGGUGGAUAGGCUUUUUGGAACAGCAAUAUAAUACUUAUAAUGAAAGGAUGAAGAAGAUUCAGAAAAAAACAAUAAAUCUCUUGCAGACCUUCCUGAAGACCUACAUUUUCCUGAAUUGCAAGUAGUAGCUAACAUUGCUUCCAGGGAGCAGAAAUAAGCAUGUGUCUUGGCUGCUAAGUGAUGAAAAGAACAUUAACAACCUUUAACUAUCUUCCUAGUGGGAACUUUUUCUAUUUUACAUACAAGAUCUGUGUAUGUAUAAAUAAAUGUAUAUUUAAGUACAGUUUUUGUGAGGUUAGCCAUGUUGCUAAACUUAAGAGGCUUUUCAGUACUGAAAGAAGUAUUAUUUGUCUUUUCCCCCAGUGCUACCAGAGACCUGAAGUUGACAGUGUCUUUAAGUUUGUUAGAUACAUAUUGGUCAUUCUUAAUAAUGGUGUUGGCCUUACCUUUGAAACAUUUUUUUAGAAUUCACCUAAAAUAGAAAUAUCAUGAGAGGAACUGCAGCAGCAGAGACAGCGAGUGAUAAAAGCCAGCCAAUCAGCAGCCACCACUGCCAAGAACUCUUAACUCUUGGCUGGAGCUGACCAGUUU
This 1107-nucleotide long non-coding RNA is filed under the name Heterocephalus glaber (naked mole-rat). Its description in RNAcentral is "lncRNA (ENSHGLG00100043445.1)". The record is from RNAcentral. Lineage: Eukaryota; Metazoa; Chordata; Mammalia; Rodentia; Bathyergidae.